UUGAGGCGUACCCCCGCGCAGCUCCGCGGCGGGGCGAGCGGGCGUCGGCCGUGGCUUGGCCGGCGGAGGGAGCGGAGCGCGCGUGGCACCGCCCCGAAAGAUCCAGGGUCGGGUUUGAUUUCGGCGCGCGGCCUAGAAGAGGCGGGAACCCGCGUGCUGGUGCCUUCCUGUCUCUCUGGCUUCCAUGAUUUGUCCCUGUGGCCGGAAUGGAUUAAGGGCCCUAUUGGUUGUGGGCUUUCCGAGUGGGAAUGUGGGGCUGAGCGACGUGAAUUUAGGGACGGGCCAUUGACAGAACGGGCAUAGUGUUUCAUCUUAGAGUGUCAGCUGUAUUGCCACUUAGAGGUGGCCGGCCCAAGUAAGGUUUCCCAUCCAGUUAUGGAAAAGGGGAAGAAAAACCUUUGCGGUGUCACCCACCCUUAAAUCCGAAUGAAGAUCCUCUUCUUCAUGGCCUUGCCUGAUAGCUAGCUCGUCGCGACGCAAACAUAAACCGUGUGCUGGAGCCGCCUUGACUCUUCCGUUUAUGGUGCAUCCGAAGCUGGUGUAUUGUCUCUGCUGUAGAGUCACUUGACUAGUCUGACCACAUCAACGUGAAGAGAAAGACUCUCCACCCUGGGAGAGCAGGAGGACCAUGUGGACAAGGAACAUGGAAACCGUUUACAGCACCAUGUAGAAACCAACAAAAGUGACUUUCGCUUCUAGCGUUCAGACGUGUUAUGGAGGAAACACUUUUCGUGCCUUAUUUUCUGUAGUCAUUGUUAAUCUCUCUGUAAUAAUAACCAAAAUUUAAAAAUUG
Callorhinus ursinus (northern fur seal) is the source of this 793-nucleotide long non-coding RNA. RefSeq lists it as uncharacterized. The record is from RefSeq and is a predicted model, not a curated record. Lineage: Eukaryota; Metazoa; Chordata; Mammalia; Carnivora; Otariidae.